Molecule: ribosomal RNA, 433 nt
Filed under: uncultured bacterium
Lineage: Bacteria
Description: partial 16S ribosomal RNA
Rfam family: Bacterial small subunit ribosomal RNA
Source: RNAcentral
AACGAACGCUGGCGGCAUGCCUAACACAUGCAAGUCGAACGAGACCUUCGGGUCUAGUGGCGCACGGGUGCGUAACGCGUGGGAACCUGCCCUUAGGUUCGGAAUAACUCCCCGAAAGGGGUGCUAAUACCGGAUAAUGUCUUCGGACCAAAGAUUUAUCGCCUUUGGAUGGGCCCGCGUUGGAUUAGCUAGUUGGUAGGGUAAAAGCCUACCAAGGCGACGAUCCAUAGCUGGUCUGAGAGGAUGGUCAGCCAUACUGGGACUGAGACACGGCCCAGACGCCUACGGGAGGCAGCAGUGGGGAAUAUUGGACAAUGGGCGAAAGCCUGAUCCAGCAAUGCCGCGUGAGUGAUGAAGGCCUUAGGGUUGUAAAGCUCUUUUACCCGGGAUGAUAAUGGCAGUACCGGGAGAAUAAGCUCCGGCUAACUCCGUG